GACGAACGCUGGCGGCGUGCUUAACACAUGCAAGUCGAACGGAGAUUCAGCAAUGGAUCUUAGUGGCGAACGGGUGAGUAACGCGUAGGCAAUCUGCCUUCUAGAUGGGGACAACAUCCCGAAAGGGGUGCUAAUACCGAAUGUUGUAUGAUCUUCGCAUGGAGAUGAUACUAAAGGUGGCCUCUGAAUAUGCUACCGCUAGAAGAUGAGCCUGCGUAUGAUUAGCUAGUUGGAGGGGUAACGGCCCACCAAGGCGUCGAUCAGUAGCCGGUCUGAGAGGAUGAACGGCCACAAUGGGACUGAGACACGGCCCAGACUCCUACGGGAGGCAGCAGUGGGGAAUCUUCCGCAAUGGACGAAAGUCUGACGGAGCAACGCCGCGGGAGUGAAGAAGGUUUUCGGAUCGUAAAGCUCUUUCGUCAGGGACGAACGUAUUUCUUGUAAAUAAUGAGAGAUAGUGACGGUACCUGAAUAAGAAGCCACGGCUAACUACGUGCCAGCCGCCGCCGUAA
This 512-nucleotide ribosomal RNA is filed under the name uncultured bacterium. RNAcentral describes it as "partial 16S ribosomal RNA". It matches the Rfam family "Bacterial small subunit ribosomal RNA", at positions 28 to 523 of the family's 1533-position model. The record is from RNAcentral.